Long non-coding RNA from Bufo bufo (common toad), 466 nucleotides. RefSeq lists it as uncharacterized. The transcript has 3 exons. The record is from RefSeq and is a predicted model, not a curated record. NCBI's taxonomy places the organism in Eukaryota, Metazoa, Chordata, Amphibia, Anura, Bufonidae.
GACCUAGUAGCAUAUGUGAAGGGGUGGCCAGCAGGGCACUGGCUGCAUGUACAGCUCUGGCACAGGAAGGGGCUGCCCUGGCUACUGGGUCCAGUCUCUUUGUAUGGUAGGACUUUGGGGUCCUUCAGGGUCACAGUGACUGGUGGGACAUUGAGGCAUCCGAUAUCCUGGGGUCCUCUGGCCCAGAGAGUAUCGGGAUGAGGUGCAAAAUGGUUUGCAGCGAAUCCCCUUGCUCAUAUGAAUCAGUGCAGAAUUUUAUUGUCAGACAUCCAGCAGCCGUGGGUUUCACAUAAUUUGAGCGAAAACCACAAAGACCAAGAAGCAAGACAGUUUCUUAUCAGAAAGAGGAUCUUAAACUAACACAGCAGAAACUAACAUUUCUGUGAAAAGAAAAAAGGUGGGGGUCAACUGAUCCCCCGUAGCGGUCCUGCAAUGUGGUGGAAUGAUCUGCUAAUUUAGCUUUUGU